This 647-nucleotide ribosomal RNA is filed under the name uncultured bacterium. Its description in RNAcentral is "bacterial SSU rRNA". It matches the Rfam family "Bacterial small subunit ribosomal RNA", at positions 202 to 849 of the family's 1533-position model. The record is from RNAcentral.
GAAAGAUUCAUCGGAAGAGGAUGGGCAUGCGGCGCAUUAGCUUGACGGCGGGGUAACGGCCCACCGUGGCGACGAUGCGUAGGGGUUCUGAGAGGAAGGUCCCCCACACUGGUACUGAGACACGGACCAGACUCCUACGGGAGGCAGCAGUGAGGAAUAUUGGUCAAUGGGAGAGAUCCUGAACCAGCCAAGCCGCGUGAGGGAAGACGGCCCUAUGGGUUGUAAACCUCUUUUGUCGGAGAACAAAACCCGGGACGAGUCCCGGACUGCGUGUAUCCGAAGAAAAAGCAUCGGCUAACUCCGUGCCAGCAGCCGCGGUAAUACGGAGGAUGCGAGCGUUAUCCGGAUUUAUUGGGUUUAAAGGGUGCGUAGGCGGUCCGUUAAGUCAGCGGUAAAAUUGCGGGGCUCAACCCCGUCGAGCCGUUGAAACUGGCAGACUUGAGUUGGCGAGAAGUACGCGGAAUGCGCGGUGUAGCGGUGAAAUGCAUAGAUAUCGCGCAGAACUCCGAUUGCGAAGGCAGCGUACCGGCGCCACACUGACGCUGAGGCACGAAAGCGUGGGGAUCGAACAGGAUUAGAUACCCUGGUAGUCCACGCAGUAAACGAUGAAUGCUGGUUGUCCGGGUCGAAUGAGAUCUGGGCGGCGA